Molecule: long non-coding RNA, 1041 nt
Filed under: Triticum aestivum (bread wheat)
Lineage: Eukaryota; Viridiplantae; Streptophyta; Magnoliopsida; Poales; Poaceae
Description: long non-coding RNA (TAES_LNC015324)
Source: RNAcentral
AAUUAUUUGAUUCAGUGCUUUGUCAGACAAAAAACAGAAUCUUUCUAUUUUGCAGGUGAUAUAUACUCGAGGGCAUGAAGACGGGUAUAUAAUAAUACUCCAGGUGAGAUAUAUGCAGGUGUUAUGGAUUGUGGUUUCGAGGAAAACAAUGAUGGAACUCAAUAUGCGGCCACUAAGUUUCUGAAGCUUGAUCGACAUCUUUUAUCAGUUGUUAAUUAGUAUUAGGAUUCAUAUGCAUGUCUACUGUUUUUCAGGAAACUCAAGACAUGAUGGUUCUGUUUUGGACGGAAAAGAAAAGUAGCACCACUGUGUUAACCCAAUGCUUAGGUGAUUAACUGCAGAUCAAACAAUUUCUAUCCCCUGUUUACGCAGUAUGGAAGUACACAUGGUUAUUGGUGAGUGACCUUCUUGGCAUAUGUAGAUUUUCUGCAUUCUGAAUUUUUAGCGCUUGUGAUUCUUGUAGGUUAUGCUUUAUUCAAGCGUAUCACUUGUAUUUCCAUUUCUCUACGUUUUACUUAAAUCACAUAUUUGACACCUUGUAAAAUCUGCAGUUAAUUACAAAAUCCCCAGAGUUGCAGAGGUGUUCUAGAUUAUUUCAUUAGUCCAUUUAGAGCAUGUCAAAUGGAGCGUCUUAUUUAGGGAUAAAAUCAACUUUCCUCUGAAGUCUGCUGCUGGUACCGCUCUUUUAUAUGGUGUUCUGAACUGGCCACACUCUUGUGACAGAUUACUACAUCUAGCUGAAGUUAAUAGCGCAAGGUGCUUGCUUAAGCUGCCAGCAUGUAAGAAAUACUAACAUAUUUGUUACCAUUGUAAUAUGAUAUCUCAAUUAGGGUGCGCGUGUGCGUAUGUGUGUGCCCUUGUAGCUGGUCUAUUUGCAAAUGGAACUGCUCCAAAAAAAAUUCAAUUAGAGCUAGCUGAUAGUGACAGAUAACUACAUCUAUGUGAACCUGCAUUGUCCUACAGUCAUACUCUGAGCUAGCUGAUAGUGAUAGAGUACUACAUCUAUGUGAACCCGUAUUAUCCUAUUAUGCUUCUCUUGAC